AUUAGGGUGGCAGAGCCAGGUAAACUGCACAGGUCCUAAGCCCCUGCAACCAGAAGUUCAAAUCCUCUCCCUAAUA
Molecule: transfer RNA, 76 nt
Filed under: Pristurus rupestris rupestris
Lineage: Eukaryota; Metazoa; Chordata; Lepidosauria; Squamata; Sphaerodactylidae
Description: tRNA-Leu
Rfam family: tRNA
About the family: Transfer RNA (tRNA) molecules are approximately 80 nucleotides in length. Their secondary structure includes four short double-helical elements and three loops (D, anti-codon, and T loops).
Source: RNAcentral